GACACUUUGGCCGAGUGGUUAAGGCGCAGGUCUGCUAUUUAUGUGCCGGCUUUCAGCUAGCAAUAUUUCCGGUUAGGGAAUAGCGAAUCUGUCCCUUCGGGGGCGUGAGUUCGAAUCUCACAGGUGUCG
Non-coding RNA from Monascus purpureus, 129 nucleotides. The record is from the annotation of a GenBank genome assembly. NCBI's taxonomy places the organism in Eukaryota, Fungi, Ascomycota, Eurotiomycetes, Eurotiales, Aspergillaceae.